RNAcentral lists this long non-coding RNA (384 nucleotides) under Junco hyemalis (dark-eyed junco). RNAcentral's name for it is "lncRNA (ENSJHYG00000010298.1)". Lineage: Eukaryota; Metazoa; Chordata; Aves; Passeriformes; Passerellidae. The record is from RNAcentral.
CAGGGGGUGCUGGGGCUGGCCCUGCCCUAGAGCUUGCACAGCUUCAGCCCCCAAGAUGUGGGAGCAACUCAGUCUUGCAGGGCACGGUACAUCCACAGAGGUCUCAGAACAGGUACCUGAGAAUCCCACUCAAGCCUCAUGAUCUACUUCUGCUACUCCAAUCAUCAAUUACUACUGAGCUUUUGCUAUCUGAGUUGCCCAUCCACGCUGCUGUAUUGUCUUUGUUAAAAGAUGCUGUUAACCAACAACUGGGACCUCUACAACAGUGCACAAGGAGGAUUGGCUCACAAGGUCCCUGCUCCAGGCUAGAGCAGCCAGUGGAAGCACCAACACCAGUAUCACAAAGGUUCAAAGGUUGCUGAGCACAGAAGUUUCUGAAAAUAA